AGUGAACGCUGGCGGCAGGCCUAACACAUGCAAGUCGAGCGGCAGCACGGGUAGCAAUACCUGGUGGCGAGCGGCGGACGGGUGAGGAAUACAUCGGAAUCUGCCUUGUUGUGGGGGAUAACGUAGGGAAACUUACGCUAAUACCGCAUAAGACCGAGAGGUGAAAGCGGGGGAUCGAAAGACCUCGCGCGACAAGAUGAGCCGAUGUCGGAUUAGCUAGUUGGCGGGGAAAGGCCCACCAAGGCGACGAUCCGUAGCUGGUUUGAGAGGAUGAUCAGCCACACUGGAACUGAGACACGGUCCAGACUCCUACGGGAGGCAGCAGUGGGGAAUAUUGGACAAUGGGCGCAAGCCUGAUCCAGCCAUGCCGCGUGGGUGAAGAAGGCC
This 387-nucleotide ribosomal RNA is filed under the name uncultured bacterium. RNAcentral's name for it is "bacterial SSU rRNA". It matches the Rfam family "Bacterial small subunit ribosomal RNA", at positions 30 to 416 of the family's 1533-position model. The record is from RNAcentral.